RNAcentral lists this ribosomal RNA (448 nucleotides) under uncultured Desulfitibacter sp. RNAcentral describes it as "bacterial SSU rRNA". It matches the Rfam family "Bacterial small subunit ribosomal RNA", at positions 933 to 1382 of the family's 1533-position model. Lineage: Bacteria; Bacillati; Bacillota; Clostridia; Neomoorellales; Desulfitibacteraceae. The record is from RNAcentral.
UGGAGCAUGUGGUUAAUUCGAUGCAACGCGAAGAACCUUACCAGGAUUUGACAUCCCCCUGACCGGUGUAGAGAUACACCUUCCUUCGGGGCAGGGGUGACAGGUGGUGCAUGGUUGUCGUCAGCUCGUGUCGUGAGAUGUUGGGUUAAGUCCCGCAGCGAGCGCAACCCCUACCCUUAGUUGCCAGCGGGUCAUGCCGGGCACUCUAAAGGAACUGCCAGCGUAAGCUGGAGGAAGGUGGGGAUGACGUCAAAUCAUCAUGCCCUUUAUGUCCUGGGCUACACACGUGCUACAAUGGUCGGUACAGAGGGCUGCAAAGGAGCGAUCCGGAGCUAAUCCCAAAAAGCCGGCCUCAGUUCGGAUAGAAGGCUGCAACUCGCCUUCUUGAAGUCGGAAUCGCUAGUAAUCGCAGGUCAGCAAUACUGCGGUGAAUACGUUCCCGGGCUUU